Molecule: long non-coding RNA, 586 nt
Organism: Homo sapiens (human)
Lineage: Eukaryota; Metazoa; Chordata; Mammalia; Primates; Hominidae
Gene: SNHG32
Product: small nucleolar RNA host gene 32
Source: Ensembl
UGAGUGUGUCGCUGAUGCCAUCACCGCAGCGCUCUGACCGCCCCCUCGGUCCAGCAUUUCUCAGGCUCAACGAGUUCAUGGCCAAGAUUCCUAAUCUUUUGUUCUGUUUCAUUUCCCCGUUAGGAGUUGUAAGACGUUCAUCGCCGUGUUAUCCUUGAGUAAAGAAUGAACUCUGGAAGCCCAGCCAGGGACAAUGCACCUUCACAGAGAUUCUGCACUAAUCUGAGUGAAGGUCUAAGGUUUGGAAUCUCCCCCUCAUGGAGAGAAGCUUUGUAUGGCUGUCAUGCUUAGACAGUGAUUCCUGCAACUUGACCUUCAGGCUGGGAGAGGUGGAGAGCCAUGCCUGUUCUCCUUCCUUGCUAUGGAAUUUGCUGACACAAUAUCUUCCGCCUGGUGCUGGGCAUAUCCUAAGAACUUACAACUUUCCUGUAUUAUCCUGUGUGAGCAGCUGUCACCUUAUUGGGGGAAAAAUGCCUGAAAAUUAGGGGGCACUUCAAGUAGAUAGCUUCUAUUUCCUAUAUUUGUCUUAUAUACAAGUAUUUGCUUUUAUCAAAAUAAUUCCAAUAAAGCAUUUUAAAGUAAAGAA